CUCUUGACAUCCAGAGAACUUGGCAGAGAUGCCUCGGUGCCUUCGGGAACUCUGAGACAGGUGCUGCAUGGCUGUCGUCAGCUCGUGUUGUGAAAUGUUCGGGUUAAGUCCCGCAACGAGCGCAACCCCUAUCCUUUGUUGCCAGCGAUUCGGUCGGGAACUCAAAGGAGACUGCCGGUGAUAAACCGGAGGAAGGUGGGGAUGACGUCAAGUCAUCAUGGCCCUUACGAGUAGGGCUACACACGUGCUACAAUGGCGUAUACAAAGAGAAGCGACCUCGCGAGAGCAAGCGGACCUCAUAAAGUACGUCGUAGUCCGGAUUGGAGUCUGCAACUCGACUUCAUGAAGUCGGAAUCGCUAGUAAUCGUAGAUCAGAAUGCUACGGUGAAUACGUUCCCGGGCCUUGUACACACCGCCCGUCACACCAUGGGAGUGGGUUGCAAAAGAAGUAGAUAGCUUAACCGUUCGGGAGGGCGUUUACCACUUUGUGAUUCAUGACUGGGGUGAAGUCGUAACAAGGUAGGCGUACGUGU
This 533-nucleotide ribosomal RNA is filed under the name uncultured bacterium. RNAcentral describes it as "bacterial SSU rRNA". It matches the Rfam family "Bacterial small subunit ribosomal RNA", at positions 978 to 1509 of the family's 1533-position model. The record is from RNAcentral.